GUUGAACAUUGUCAGUGCGACAAGCUGUUUAUAUAUGUUUUAUCAUUAUUAUUACUAUUAUUAUUAUUAGUGUUAUUAUUAUUGUCAGUGAAACAGGUAGUAGCUUUAUGACAACUGAUAGAUUUGGUGGGACAACCACCGCCGCCACCACGAUAACAACGACCACGACUAAGUACCCGGUCUGGACUUGUAAACGAACUGCUCUCACCGCUCUCUAUUCGUCUCUCUCUCUCUCUCUCUCUCGCUUUCUUUCUCUCUUUUUCACUUUGUCUAGCUCUCACUCUUUAGUGUACUUUUCCUCUUCCUCUCUCUUUCUCUUCUCUUCUCUUUCUCACACAUACUCAGACACACACUCUCUCCUUCUUCCCCUCUCUUCCUUUUCUGAUAUUACAUUCUAGUUUCACCUUAGAUCCAUCGUUUCGUUCAUGUGGACUAACGAGUUUACAUGCAGGUAAUCAGAAGAAGAAAAAAAGGGAGAAAAAAAUCAGUUUAUAGACCUACUGCAGUUCUUAGCAGACAAUUUUACCCGACAGGAACAAAAUAAUAAUAAUAACAAUAAUAAUAACAAUCGGAAGCAAGAUAAACCGCGAAGGGAUACUAAUUAUAAUAAGGAGGCUUAUUGUACACCCGAAACUUGGAGUCAACCAACAUAAACAAAAACAAAAGAUGAUAAAUGCUUAUGAAAUCAUGCAUGAAUGACGUGUCAUGAAAUUCUAAAAUUGCUGGAGUGAGAAUACCUGAAAAAAGAAAUAAUAUAUGCCCAAGGCCUAAUACACUUAAUCAAAACUCAGACCUGCCUCACUUGUAAGAAGAAAAACUCGGAGGAUUUUAUUUUGUUGCUGUUUUUGCUAUUUGUAAAUUUCAUUUUAAUUACUGAACCAUUAUGUGAGAAAUCAAAAUCUUCACAUACUUAUUUUUCUUCCCACCCGAAUCUCGAAGAAAUACUCGUAUAUAAUUACAAUCACUGAAUACCAACGAUAUUGUGAUCAAUAAAAAAAAUAUCACAUAUUUUCUAAUAUAAAAUUAAAAAGUAAAACAUGGAAACGAUUAGAAAAUACUUAAAAAAGAAGCCAAAAGAUUCAAAUGGCAUUGACGGCAAAUAUACCAUACCUGAAGAACUUAAGAGACAAUUUCCAGAUUAUAACACAGAUUCUACGGAAACGCAUCGUUUACGAACAAUUUCAAUUUCUAGGUCUGGUAGAUUCAAACCAAAACGAGAUCGCGGUGCCAUUUCACAGAGACCAGAUAUAUUUCAACAGCCAGCCAAGGAAAAGAAAGAGGAAGCGGCAUCCAGAGAAGAAAGGAAACAUGAUAGCCCUCGAACAACUCGGUCAUCGAAUAAUAAUUACCGGUAACAAACUAUCACUAAAAUAAGCUGGUUAUCCGUUUAAGCUAUAACUUUCUGGACUCGAGAAGCUAUGUAAUAUGGCGUUUACAAAUUCGCGCCAUAUUGCAAAAAAAAAAUGUAUAUCUAACAGAGAAAAAAAAAUUGAAAAUGAAAAAUAAAGAGUUACAUCCAAGAAUACAUAGUAUAUGGACAAAUGUAUAUACAUUUGUGAGCACAGCGAUUAUCAUUAAUUCUUUGAAGACGCUUUUAUAACAAAUUGAACUUGGAUAGGCGGGAGCGAUAAAAAAAAGUACCAGGCAUAAACUGGAAUAGAUUCAAAACGUUCAGUCGAUCACACUCUUCCUCUACAAAUUCGUCGGCUUUACACCAAUGUAAAAAAAAAAGUCGAAGUAUUUUAAAAUUUAGUAUUGUUUUAAUUCAACAGCAUUUUAGUAAAUGACAUUGUUAAAAUAAGGUUUAAACAUGUAAUUAUAUAUAUGCAUGAUGUAUGCGCAUAAUGUAUGUAUAACCUGUGUGCGUAUGUGUGUGUGCGUGUGUGUGAUAGCCCUUCCAAGACACGUCCUGUUUAUUUCUCUUUAGAGUUGGUAUGGGGACCACACGAAUUCUGAGGAGCAAGAAAGUCGACUGGUCUUACAAAAGACAUCAUCAUUAUAAAUAUCCCUACUUUAUUAUGUCUUGAAUACUUUGCCUCAAAUUGCGGUUUCUCCAUUGUUUGAAACGUAAUUAUGCAACUAUGUGCAUGUGCAUGUGCAUGUGUAUGUGUGUGUACGUGCAUGCAUGCGUGCGUGUGUGAGUGUGAGAGAGAAAAAGAGAGAGAAAGUGGGGAGCGCAGUUUGACUGAUUGUUUUAGGAGAUUGUUUUACAGCCAUAAGAUUCUGGUAUCGAUUCUACCGUGUGCCAUCUUGGGUAAAUGUCAUUUUCUGUAGCUACGGCUCGAUCCAUACAUUGUAAAUGGAACCGGACAGCACGAAAACUACAUAGGCUCUCGUGAUAGAUCGUGCCUAUAAUACAACAUGCAUGGCCUUCCCGCUGAUUCUAUCUGAGAACUACGUUAAGGGUACAGGUGCAGGUAAUUCACUUGAUCGAACAAUUGAGUCCUCCUCGGUGAACGAAGUCACAUGCACACGCGAACACACACACACACACACACACACACACACACACACACACACACACACACACACACACACACACACACACACACACAUAUCUGUGUAUUUGGGCUUAUAUGCGUUUAGAAUGAAAUACGUGUAUGUACUCAAGCAAAGAUAUAUUAAUAUAUAAGAUAUAUGAAUAUAUUUAUAAAGACAUAUAGAUAUAUUUAUGUAUAUAGUGGGAUAUGUAGAAAUAUAGACACAUAUAGACAUACAAAAGUUGCACAGGUUGCAGACCAUGAUGAGUUUCCGUGUCUCAUUGUCUUGACUUGAAGCCUUCCCAAAUUCAUAUUCUUCUCGCACUGUUAUGGCGUUGACACAAUGUACACCAGCAAUAUAUUAGAGAACGUUCGGCCUACUUUAACUACGAAAUUUGUAAAAAGUUGGUAUUACAAAGAUAUCAGUAUUUGUUAGUCUGUUGGGGAGGGAGAGUUUCUAAGGGUCGUUUUAGACCCUCUCUGGUUGCGGACAUGGAAUGACGAGGUGAAGUUGUUGCACUAUGUAUAUAUUUGUGUGUGUGCAUAUAUAUAUGACAAGAGUAGAGAUUCAAAGAAUCAAAUAGAACUCAGCUGUCAACAAUGGAUGAAAUAUCUAUUCUCUCACUUCAUUUGUUUUAUCUGAUCAAGUUAUAUACAUACAUACAUAUAUAUAUAUAUAUAUAUAUAUAUAUAUAUAUAUUCAAGAUUAAAUAAAAAGAUAACGGAAAAUGACAUACCUGUAUAUAUAUAUAUAUGUAUAUAUAUAUAUAUAUAUAUAUAAUUCAACAAAGCGUGUAGAAAAACAUACGAACAUAUACUAAACACACAGACUAACGGAAAACACAGGUCACCAACUCCUCUUCAGUUACUGGCCAGAGGGUCGAGCGUAAUUCCGCGACGGCCUAAGGCGGUUUCAUUCUUUUACGAGUUGCCUUCGACCAGACUGGUCACGAUUUUCUGAGCUCCUCGGUCUACUCCUCCUGUGUUUAUAGUCCUUUAGGACAGUUUUUCAUUUCGCCUUCGCGUUACCCAUUUUUGUCUUGUCUUGCAGUCCUAGGUCUUUAUUUGCUGUAUAUGUAUCAUGAUUUUUAAUUGUUGUCUUCGUGUGGCCCUAAGCUUUUAUUCUGUUUAUUGUUUUGUUAUGUUUUGGUCCGAUUCCCGGCAAGUUUCUUGCCGGUGCUUCCAGAGUGGAAUUAGUAUUAUCGAUAAUGGCCGAAAUUGCGCUUGACCGUCUGACCAAUAACUGAAGAGGAAUCGGUGACCUUCUGUGUUUUCCGUUCGUCUGUGUAUUUAGUAUAUGUUCGCAUGUUUAUUUUCUACACUUUUUUAAAAUUAUAUAUAUAUACAUAUAUAUAUAUAAACACACACACACACACACACACACACACAUGUCAUUUCCCGUUGUCGAGUUAUUUAAUCCUGAAAAUAUUUAUGUAACGCACGCACUCAUUUAUUUUUUUACGUAUAUGUAUAUAUAUAUAUACAUAUAUAUAUACAUACAUACAUACAUAUAUAUAUAUAUAUAUAUAUAUAUAUAUAUAUACUUAC
Octopus bimaculoides (California two-spot octopus) is the source of this 4028-nucleotide long non-coding RNA. NCBI's taxonomy places the organism in Eukaryota, Metazoa, Mollusca, Cephalopoda, Octopoda, Octopodidae. The record is from RefSeq and is a predicted model, not a curated record.